Molecule: long non-coding RNA, 7616 nt
Filed under: Setaria italica (foxtail millet)
Lineage: Eukaryota; Viridiplantae; Streptophyta; Magnoliopsida; Poales; Poaceae
Description: long non-coding RNA (SITA_LNC001612)
Source: RNAcentral
CACCGUCCUCCCCCACCUCCCGAUCAAGCCAUCCAGCCGCCUCUCCUCGCCCUCCUGCCUGCGCGCAUCUCUCUAGAGCUUAAACUCUCCUAGAGAGAUCUCAGGCAGCCCCAAUAACCAACCGCUCGACCCAACUCGUCGUCGUCGUCGUCGCAGAUGGCCGGCCUCAGGAUGAAGCUCGUCGCCGCCGCCGCCGUGGCCGCCGCGCUCGUGGCGUCCGCCGCCGCCCAGGCCCCCGCGCCAGCGCCCACCUCCGACGCCUCGGCCGCGGUGCCCCUCGCGGCGGCGUCCUUCGCCGCCGCCGCCUUCGGCUACCUCUUCUGCUAGAUCCGUCGUCCGGGGAUGCCGUCGUGCUCCCUGGCCGGUCGGGCCUGCUGAUGAUGAUAUGAUUCGUUUUGGCGUGAGUCGAGUCCCCUGUUCGUGGCGCGUGUUGAGGGAUGUCGGUGGGCGUGUGUAUGUACGAGUCGGCGGCGGGUGGAGGUGUGCGCGCGUGGUUGGAUACGUGCGUCGACGCACCACUCUUUGUGGUGGAGAUCAUGUACCCGCUGCGCUUCUGUUUAUCAAUGAGAUGAUUUAUUUGAUUCUUUUCAUCUUAUAUACAAUAUACAUGAGAAUUGCGUAUUCAGUUUGUUGUGUUUUGCUCUGCAAACUUGCGAUGUGCAGAUUGUUGUAAAACACUGUCGAACGAUUCUCCCUCAAUCGAGUUCUUCCGUUACAAAGAAAAAGAAAACGGUGCAUCUCUCUUAAAAAAACGAUUACUAUUCUUACGACCUGAAAAUUAAGGGGUGCAGGCUACAGUUCAAAGAUGUAAUUGGAAUCUGAAAUCGAUUUGACCGACUAAGGAACCCACCAUCUGAAUUCUAAGCAAAACGACCGGCAUAACGACUUUCAUUUAUGACCAACCAAUUCAGAAUUGACAAGCUUUAUUUUUCCUCCCUCCCUCGAAAAGAAUGCUGUGGCACGGAGUCCUCGUGAAGUUCGUUAGGAGAUGCCGGGCCGGGGUUGCUUAAUUAGUUUGGUGAGGGAUCCGAACGUUGAAAUGAUUGAAGCAUGUUGGCGUCGCCACUUGCCAGCCAAGAAGCCAUGUGCUGCUCGUUAAGCACUGGUCCACAGAUGAGUUGUCUUGGUAGGGGCAGCCGUACCCGCUGUAUCAGCGCUGGCAUGCUCCAAGCUGGAAAUGGUGAGCCGUCGCAAUCGCUGCAGUAUUACCCGACUAAUAUGUGCUUUAUGGAAUUGCAGGACUGCUUAAUUUUGACCGUGCUCGUGGAUUUAGAUGCUGGUCGAUGGCUCCAGCUCGAUGCCUUUUCCUACUGUACUGGCUACUGCCGACCGAGAGUCUCAGAGCGUGCAGAAUGCAGGUCGAGUUCCGCAAAGUUGUUGGCGUACACAGCUGGGGAUUGGGCCAGUGCCAGCUCUACACACCACUGGGCCACCUUUGUGUUUUCUCCGGCCUGCUUGAAAAUGUAUUGGGCCAGUUUGUUGGGCCGCUUACUUACAUCUGUGCUCAGCUAAAUCCAGCGAGAACAAUGGAAGAGUUUUUGGCUCUAUACAACAAAUCUUUUGGUUUUUUCCCCCCCUUUCUUUUUCAUCCACAUAAGACACCCACGAUGGCGUUUAUAUUUGUAAGAUAACUGAGUUGCAUUUUUAAGUGCCUCAUUUCUGGAUUAUCGGGCAGCUUCUGAAAGGAAGCUCCAAUUAUAGUAGACGAAGUAGAAGGUUUUUUUUUCGAUUCAAGACCUGGAACGUAGGUAGCUAGAGUCUACGCACUGCAGUUACAUACUGACAAAUUGCAAUGGCGAGUCGGCGACCGACAAGCAGAGGCCAGGCACAGCUGCGUCACAUGAACUCGCUCAUCAUGGCGAGCACCUGCGCCAUCGUGGGCCUCUCCUCCGGCGCCUCGGCGGUGCACAGCACGCCGAUCUUCACCAUCCCCAUCGUCUCCUCCCCUUCGCCGCCUUCCUCGCCGUCGGCGGCCUUGUGGUCCGUCACCACCUCCAGGAGCACCAUCCCGAAGCUGUACACGUCGGACUCCUGCGUCGCCCUCGCGCCCGCGCCCGACGCCAGCUCCGGCGCCGCGUACCCGUGCCACCCGACGCUCGCCGCUGGCGGGGCCGCCGACGACGUCGCGGUCGCCGCCCGGCCCAGGAACAGGUCCGGCGGGCACCGAGCGGCCUGCGGGACGACGGACUGCUGGAUGUUUGUGGCGUAGCGCAUGAGCCCGCACUCGGACACGCACGCGCCGCCGCGCUCGUCCAGGAGGAUGUUGGACGGCUUCACGUUCGCGUGCACAAGCGCCGGCCGCGCCGGGAACGUGUGGAUGUAGUUCAGGCCCUGCGCCGCGCCGAACAGUAUGCUCUUCCUCCCCGCCCAGUCCAGGCUCCUCGCGCCACCACCUGCAGCAACAACAACGGCCCGUCAGGAACACUCGCUUUCUUGCACCGACUGCAAAUUGGCAAUGCAUUUGGGAUUUCAUUAUCUCAUUUCAGCGCGACGACGCACCACUGGCUUGCAGAAGGGACUGGAGGCUCCCGUUGGGGAGGAAGUCGUAGACGAGGAGGCGCUCGCCGUUGGAGUUGCAGUACCCCCUGAGGCUGACGACGUGCCGGUGGCGGAGCCGGCCGACGAGCCGCAUGUGGCGGUCGAACGCCUUGCUCCGGCUGGCGGGGAACUGCAGCGCGCUCAGGCGCUUGACGGCCACCACGAUGCCGUCGUCGAGCACCGCCUUGUAGGUGCUCCCGGACACGCCCUUGCCGAGCACCUCGGCGGACGCCUUGAGGAGGCUCUCCAGCCGCAGCUCCUCGCCGCCCUCGAAGCAGACCAACCCGCCGCUCUUCUGGCACUUGUCGUCCCCGUUCGCCCUCUUCUCUUGCUCCUCGAAGCAGAGUGCCGCGUCGGAGGCGUCCUUCGCCGACCGGAGCUUCCUCCUCAUGUAGACGAACAUGGCCACGGAGAUGGCUAGCGAGACCGUGAUGAGCACUGCGUUGCCAAUGCCGGUGGCCAUGAGUGCAGUCAAGCUAAGCUUACUGAAACCUCCAUUGCUGGAACUGGAAGGCACACUACCACUAACGUUCACUGCAGCACCAGGAGAUUGAGCAGCGAUACUGGUGGUAGCAUUGGAAGAACUAUCCGAUCCUAACGCAUUAUAAGCACGAACACAUCUUGGCAGAGGCGUGCCACAGAGAGCGAGAUUGCCGCCGAAAGCCGACCUCGGGAACCUGGACAGAUCGCCGGAGAUCUCCCCAGCGAGCUUGUUCCCGGACACGUUCAAGCUCCUGAGCGACGGGGCGCGCAGCGCCUCCAGGCCUCCACGGAAGCCAUUGUGCUCCGCUCUAAGCGUGAGCAGAGCACCCAGCGAGAUGUUCAGGCUCCCGGUGAGCCGGUUGCGGGCGACGAGCAGGUGCCGCAGCCACGGGCUCGCCGUGGCGUCGUCCAGCGGGGGGAGGGCGCCGGACAGGGAGUUGUUCCUGACGGCGAGCGCCCUGAUAUGGCUGAGCCGCAGGAGCGGCGCCACCUCGCCGGCCAGCGAGGCGCCGUCGAGGAAGACCCCCACCACCCUGCCCCUGGAGCACCUGAUCCCGAACCACGUGCUGGAGCACGGGUUGGGGCCGUGCCAGGUCGCCAGGGCCGUGGCGUUCGGGUUGUAGGACUUGAAGGAGAGCAGCGCGGGCAGGUCCUGGUGGCCGCCAUUGCCGACCUCUCCGUGCACAGAAGGUACCGAUAGGUGGUAGACGAGGACGGCGAGGAGCAGGAAGGUGGAAUGGUGGAAACGAGGCAUUUUGGUAGCUGUAAGAAUUUUCUUCUGUGUUUGACCGAGAAAUCUAUCCACUCGUUUUAUAGCACGGGCCGGUAACAAUUCAGCGCGGGGAAGUAGAAAAUUUUGAAUGGCGCACGAGCACAAAGGCGUGGAACGACGACGAGCAGAGGGGUCCAAAGAGGAAAGCUGGGUACCUGCGCCGACGUCGUGGGUGGGUGUCGAUGCUGAGGUCGUGGGGAGGAGGGUGGAGGUGAAAAGCGGCGCCAUGGAGGACAGGAGGAGAGGUCCAAGGGGAUGGGGAGCUGACGAGGUGCCCUUUUUCCUCCCUUGGGCAGAAGGAACUUGGACGUAUCUGGUGGGCUGCACGUAGCCGUGAUGGUCGUCGCGCCGGGGAGAUGCUGGUGCUCGCUUCGCUUUACGGAAGCGGCCGAAAGGAAGCAAGAGGGCUCGGGGUUCCACGGCGCGUGGUGGAGUAUCGGGUUCACGAGACGAGACGGGAGUAGCGAGUGGGGACGUUGGCGUCAGGUGGCGCCACGCACCGGUAGGGGAGCAGACAGGAAUGGAUUCCAGCUUCACGUUGCACUAGUCCCCCAGAGUCACAGUGAACCCGGAACACUGAACUGGGUUCAGGUGUCGGGGCAUCUAUUGUUGGGUCCGUUCGUGCUGUGGGCCGAGCCAGGUCUUGCCACCCGAUCCAGCCCAGUAACCGGAGUAGCCAAGAUUUUGUUGGGGCGUCGGGUUCAAACUUCAAAUUGGCAGGUGGAGACGCUUCCAAACGGGUUCAUAGUGAGUCAUUGCUACUGGUACUACGGAGGACUAGGAAGGUUAAUUAUCAUUAUGAACAGUGUUAGUUAGCACCGUCGUCUGAAUGAAAGGUCAUGACAUGCUCGUGAAACCUCGAUUCUAAUGUAUGCGCGCAGUUUUUGGUAUAUCAACUCAGAACUCGACUGGUGGUGUGGUGAGCACAAAAAUGCAUCUUGUUUUUUUUUUCCCACUAAGGGCUACGUCCAAAUUUCAUUACUGUUUAGGCAAUGAAAUUACAGAGUAUGAGAGUUGUCGACACCAUGGUCACACCAGAGAUUACAAAAGCAUCUCCAGGAGGACAGGUGCAGACGGCCUUUCCACCUGGGAGGAAUAAAGCGAGCCUACUUAUUACAUGACACAGAACUAACAGCAUGCUAAACAUCUCACAGCCAACCAAACUAGGAACAUUUCUCAACCAGCCUCCAAAGUUGCUUUGAGCAUCACACUGUAUCCAGACUUCCUGGCUUGAUUUGGGACAGCACUUCUUCUCUUUUUUACUGCAGCAGUACCAUCCCUGUGUCGUCGGUUGUUGCUUCACGGGGGUGAAAGUGCAACGCCGUCGCCUUCAUUGCAUCAGCGCCAGCCUCCAGGAUCGUCCUCCCCUCCGGCUUAUGAAGACCUGCUCAAUAUGAAAUGAAAACAGAUGCUGAACAUAUAAUCUCUGAAGGAGAUUUGACCUAUUUUUUAUCAAAGCAAGCAGCAUUUCUAGCUUUCCAGAGUGCCCAGCAGACCGCUGACAGCCCCACCACAUGGAUGUUUUUGUUUUGUGACAUAUACUAUCUAGUCCAUUCCCAAAAUUGGGCAAAGGUAGUUGGUCUACAUGGAGCACCAAUUACCAUGGCAAUAAGGCUCCAUACAUACCUAGCCAAGGCAUAUCCAAAGAAAAGGUGUUUCGAUGUUUUCUUCCAUAUGACAGAAACAACAGCUUUUGUCCCCCUGCCAGUUGCGUUUUAUAAGGUUGUCUUUAGUCAGAAUAGCAUCUUUUUGGAUUAACCACAUAAAGAUUUUUAUCUUCAAAGGGAUUUUGGCUUUCCAAAUAUUGUCAUGAGGACUGGGUAUAGACUACCGCCUCAUCAUCGACACAUCGAACAACGAUGGCAAGGAUGCCAAGUACGAGGCGGUGGUUCAUGAGAAAAACUGGGGAGACCAAAUCACUCUCUUGUCCUUUAAGCGAGCAGACUCUCAGCAACAAUUGGCAUGAGCAUGUUAAUCACUCUCUUGUCCUUUAAGGAUGCCAAUGAUUUGUAGUAGGGUUGCCACCUUGAUUAAUGCUUAUCACUACUUGCUCUACAACUAUUGCAUUUUGUGUUUACUCCAUUUAGCGUCCUUUCGUUACGCCUUGCUUAAUGCUUAUCACUACUUGCUCUACAACUGCUGCAUUUUGUGUUUACUCCAUUUAGCGUCCUUUUGUUAAUCGUUGAAAUGGCGUGGUAGCUGCUGCGUAAUGCGUAUCAUGUAAUUUGGCAUCUCCAAUAUAAAUGGGAUUUUCAGCCUAAAUAAAAUGUGAUUGGGAAAUUUGGCUUCCCACUUUUGUACAUGAUGCAAACGGUCAUAUACAUGCACACACAAUUACAAAUACACGCACGCUAGUUCGAUCUUCAAGUUUAAUAUAGUUUCAGCUGUUCAAACAUUGGAUUGAACAUGACCGAUCCAUUUGAAAGUAGAUUGCUUUCAAACACAAAACGUGGAUUGCGUUAAAUAUUUUUAUUAGACAUAUUAGGAAUGUAAAAGUCAAAUUUAUAAUAAUUUAACCAAACAUUAGUCAAAUUCUAUAAAUCCUCAGUAUAAAAGUUAUAUGGAUGAAUUCAAAUAUGAAAUAUCUUACUUCUAUACAUCUAAUAGUAUAUUGUAAUAGAAACUAUAUCAGUCAAUAUAUAUCUAUAAAUAUUUUCAAAUCAUCAUGUGCCUACUAAAAACAAACAAAGUUAAUGUUAUGGUUGUGAUUUUAUUGCUACAAAUAUUACUAGUAUUAUAAGAGCAUCUGCAGCAGUCUCCCAAUAAAUAUUUCCCAAUAACUAGUUAAUAGGGAUAUUCCAAUAUCACUUUCAUCGUUAUUGGGAGAGUUGCUUUUGCAGUCUCCCAAUAAUUUCAUCCCAAUCCAACUACCGUAUUGAGAGAGUUACAACUCCUUUAUUUAGGGAGAGUUGGGAUGAAUUAUUGGGUUGUCCCAAUAAUUAUUGGGAAAAGGGAAAGUUAAAGGAAGACUGUUGGAACACUAUUUUCUUAUCAACUCUCUCAAUAUGAUAGUUGGAUUGAGGAAAGGGAGAUUGCUAAAGAUGCUCUAAUAAGCUAUGUAUUCAAAACAAAGUGGUCAUGCGGGUAUUAGAGUUGUGAUCCGAAAUAACGGCAGGAAAAUUCUGUUAUCUGCAUGGCGAGUCAUUUUUUAUGCAGUGAGCGUACAGGAAGUGGAGGCAUUGGCAUGCAAAGAAGGGUGGCCCUUGAAGGGAGCCCGCGAUCUUAGAGUUAGACUGCAGUGCGGUCAUUCACUAAAUCAAGGAAGCGAGUAAGAUGAUACUAGCUAGCAUAAUUUUUCACGGUCUAGAAGGCUAAGCGCCUAGCGGAAAGUCUCCCAUGUCUCGUUUUGAGUCAUGUAAAGAGAUAGCAGAACGUAGUCGCACAUGAGCUUGCGAAGCAAAUCGCAAUGUAGUGUGGUGUGAUCAUCCCCCACUUAUAUGAGCAUUUGAUUGCUCAUGCCUGUAAUUUUUUUUUUGAGCAAUCAAUAAAGCGCUCUCUCUUUUUUUAAAAAAAAUUUGCAAAGAAAGAGACUACGAAUCAAAGUUGGAGAAUGUGACGAGUCAAAGCAUAUUGUGAAAUGGAGGCAGCAAAAUCCUAACGCUUCCUGUCGCAUCGACGUUCGAGCUCUGUGUACUUAAUUGAUUGCCACGUAGAAGCCGAAGAGUGCAGCGUCGAUUCAACUGGCGCGCGUCUAGACCCUAUAAAAGGACGGGGUUUCCAAGGCAGCACUGCACCGAUGCUUGCUCUGCACCAGCAAAGGCAGUCAAACUAACAGUACGCCGGGCACCGGAAGAUCGAUCGACCAGGCAUGUCGCCGCCGCCG